AGAGCGAACGCUGGCGGCAGGCCUAAUACAUGCAAGUCGAACGGACCCUUCGGGGUUAGUGGCGGACGGGUGAGUAACACGUGGGAACGUGCCCUUUGGUUCGGAACAACUCAGGGAAACUUGAGCUAAUACCGAAUGUGCCCUUCGGGGGAAAGAUUUAUCGCCAUUGGAGCGGCCCGCGUCUGAUUAGCUAGUUGGUGGGGUAAAGGCUCACCAAGGCUACGAUCAGUAGCUGGUCUGAGAGGAUGAUCAGCCACAUUGGGACUGAGACACGGCCCAAACUCCUACGGGAGGCAGCAGUGGGGAAUAUUGGACAAUGGGCGCAAGCCUGAUCCAGCCAUGCCGCGUGAGUGAUGAAGGCCCUAGGGUUGUAAAGCUCGUUUUGUGCGGGAAGAUAAUGACGGUACCGCAAGAAUAACGCCCCGGCUAACUUCGUGCCAGCAGCCGC
Molecule: ribosomal RNA, 448 nt
Filed under: uncultured bacterium
Lineage: Bacteria
Description: SSU rRNA
Rfam family: Bacterial small subunit ribosomal RNA
Source: RNAcentral